Molecule: small RNA, 28 nt
Filed under: Bombyx mori (domestic silkworm)
Lineage: Eukaryota; Metazoa; Arthropoda; Insecta; Lepidoptera; Bombycidae
Description: ovarian small RNA-27098
Source: RNAcentral
UCCAUUGGUGUCUGAUUAGUGAUCCUCC